AUUUACAAAGUUUAGAAAUGUCUAUUAUCUAGUUUUGAGGGGAUAAUUCCGCUCAGCAAAUUUAAUCUGGUGUCUAUGGCAUAGUGGUCACACCUGUUCCCAUCCCGAACACAGAAGUUAAGCACUAUUACGCCGACGAUAGC
Molecule: ribosomal RNA, 143 nt
Filed under: Spiroplasma eriocheiris CCTCC M 207170
Lineage: Bacteria; Bacillati; Mycoplasmatota; Mollicutes; Entomoplasmatales; Spiroplasmataceae
Source: RNAcentral